RNAcentral lists this ribosomal RNA (671 nucleotides) under bacterium. RNAcentral describes it as "bacterial SSU rRNA". It matches the Rfam family "Bacterial small subunit ribosomal RNA", at positions 102 to 786 of the family's 1533-position model. The record is from RNAcentral.
ACGGGUGAGUAACACGUGAGCAAUCUGCCCUCCACAUCGGGAUAACCCCCGGAAACGGGAGCUAAUACCGGAUACGACCACUUCAGGCAUCUGAUGGUGGUGGAAAGUUCCGGCGGUGGAGGAUGAGCUCGCGGCCUAUCAGCUUGUUGGUGAGGUAAUGGCCCACCAAGGCUUCGACGGGUAGCCGGCCUGAGAGGGUGACCGGCCACACUGGGACUGAGACACGGCCCAGACUCCUACGGGAGGCAGCAGUGGGGAAUAUUGGACAAUGGGCGAAAGCCUGAUCCAGCAACGCCGCGUGAGGGAUGACGGCCUUCGGGUUGUAAACCUCUUUCAGCGCAGACGAAGCGAAAGUGACGGUAUGCGCAGAAGAAGCACCGGCCAACUACGUGCCAGCAGCCGCGGUAAUACGUAGGGUGCGAGCGUUGUCCGGAAUUAUUGGGCGUAAAGGGCUCGUAGGCGGUCUGUCACGUCAGGAGUGAAAACUCGGGGCUCAACCCCGAGCCUGCUUCUGAUACGGGCAGACUGGAGGUAUGCAGGGGAGAACGGAAUUCCUGGUGUAGCGGUGAAAUGCGCAGAUAUCAGGAGGAACACCGGUGGCGAAGGCGGUUCUCUGGGCAUUACCUGACGCUGAGGAGCGAAAGUGUGGGGAGCGAACAGGAUUAGAUACC